GCAGACACACUCUGUUCUUUGCUGUGCACUCCGGCAUGGGACUUUUUCUGUCUGCUACAUGAACAUGCAGAAUGUAGCACGGUACUGGCUUUCUAAAAGGCUGGUGUUUGUAUGUUCUGCUACAUUACA
This is a small nucleolar RNA of Melanotaenia boesemani (Boeseman's rainbowfish), 129 nucleotides long. RefSeq annotates it as small nucleolar RNA SNORA77. The record is from RefSeq and is a predicted model, not a curated record. The transcript has a single exon. NCBI's taxonomy places the organism in Eukaryota, Metazoa, Chordata, Actinopteri, Atheriniformes, Melanotaeniidae.